GAACGCACAUUGCGCCCUUUGGUAUUCCGAAGGGCAUGCCUGUUCGAGCGUCAUUAUCACCCCUCAAGCCCCCUGGCUUGGUGUUGGACGGUUGGCGAUGACCUCCGGGUCGUCGCCCCUCCCAAAGACAAUGACGGCGGCCUCGUUGGACCCCCGGUACACUGAGUUCUUCACGGGACACGUACUGGAUCAAGGGUGCGCGGAGCACGGUCUUAACCAUUUCACCCCUCGUGGGCGGAAUAAUUUUUCUAGGUUGACCUCGGAUCAGGUAGGGAUACCCGCUGAACUUAAG
This 292-nucleotide unclassified non-coding RNA is filed under the name uncultured fungus. RNAcentral describes it as "sequence contains 5.8S rRNA gene". The stretch from base 1 to 53 matches the Rfam family "5.8S ribosomal RNA", at positions 102 to 154 of the family's 154-position model. Lineage: Eukaryota; Fungi. The record is from RNAcentral.